GUGCCAGCCGCCGCGGUAAUACGAACUGUGCGAACGUUAUUCGGAAUCACUGGGCUUAAAGGGUGCGUAGGCGGUUAUCUAAGUCAGGUGUGAAAUCUCUCGGCUCAACCGGGAAACUGCGCUUGAAACUGGAUGACUGGAGGGAUGCAGGGGUGUGUGGAACUUCCGGUGGAGCGGUGAAAUGUGUAGAUAUCGGAAGGAACGCCAGCAGCGAAAGCGGCACACUGGGCAUCUACUGACGCUGAGGUACGAAAGCUAGGGGAGUGAACGGGAUUAGAUACCCCGGUAAUCCUAGCCGUAAACACUGAACACUGGGGGAGGGAGGCUUCGGCCUUCUUUCCCGUAACGAAAGCGUUAAGUGUUCCGCCUGGGGAGUAUGGUCGCAAGGCUGAAACUCAAAGGAAUUGACGGGGGCUCACACAAGCGGUGGAUCAUGUGGUUUAAUUCGAUGCAACGCGAAGAACCUUACCCGGGCUCGAAGUGCAGGUAGUAAAGAGAUGAAAGUUGAAUGAACCGUCAAGUCGGUUGCCUGCAGAGGUGCUGCAUGGCUGUCGUCAGCCCGUGCCGGGGAGGGGGUUGGGGUUAAGUCCCCGCAACGAGCGCAACCCCUAUCUUUAGUUGCCACCGAGGUAGUGGUCGGGGCACUCUAAAGAGACUGCCUACGCAAGUAGGAGAAGGAAGGGUGGGGGAAUGGACGUCAGGUUCCUCAUGGCCCCUUAAGGGGGGUAGGGGCUACACACGUCAUACAAUGGUACAUACAGGGCGGCCGCCCACCCCGGGGAGGGGGGAGCUAAUCCCCAGAAAAGUGUUAUCCGUAGGUCCGGGGAUUUGUAGUCUGCCACUCGACUACAUGGAAGGUAGGAUCGCUAGUCAUCGCGGAUCAGCCAUGGUCGCAGGAUGAAAUACCGCUCCGCGGUCUGGCACCUCACCGCCAGUCGAGGGACGUAAUCGAUUCAGCUGCAGGAACUAGUCCUUAAAGUGGAGGAUCAUC
RNAcentral lists this ribosomal RNA (991 nucleotides) under uncultured bacterium. Its description in RNAcentral is "bacterial SSU rRNA". It matches the Rfam family "Bacterial small subunit ribosomal RNA", at positions 505 to 1533 of the family's 1533-position model. The record is from RNAcentral.